This is a long non-coding RNA of Hippocampus comes (tiger tail seahorse), 256 nucleotides long. RefSeq lists it as uncharacterized. Lineage: Eukaryota; Metazoa; Chordata; Actinopteri; Syngnathiformes; Syngnathidae. The transcript is spliced from 3 exons. The record is from RefSeq and is a predicted model, not a curated record.
CAAACAGGGGGUGAGACAUCCACUUCAUCCAUACAACAGACACCCAGUGUUGGGAUCUUAACUGAACCUUCUGGUGACCAAGAAGGGAGCGAGGGAUCCACUUCAUCCAUACUACAGACACCCAGUGUUGGGUUCUUAACUGAACCUUCUAGAGACCAAGAAGGGAGGAAGAGAUCCACUUCAUCCAUACAACAGGUAAUUACAUUUUAUCAGUAUAUACCAGGUUUGACUUUACAGCUUUCUUUGGAAAUCAUUG